GAGGUUGUAGCUCAGUCGGUAGAGCAACGGACUUUUAAUCCGUAGGUCCGGGGUUCGAGCCCCCGCAACCUCA
RNAcentral lists this transfer RNA (73 nucleotides) under Pirellulaceae bacterium. Its description in RNAcentral is "tRNA-Lys". It matches the Rfam family "tRNA". Rfam says of the family: Transfer RNA (tRNA) molecules are approximately 80 nucleotides in length. Their secondary structure includes four short double-helical elements and three loops (D, anti-codon, and T loops). Further hydrogen bonds mediate the characteristic L-shaped molecular structure. tRNAs have two regions of fundamental functional importance: the anti-codon, which is responsible for specific mRNA codon recognition, and the 3' end, to which the tRNAs corresponding amino acid is attached (by aminoacyl-tRNA synthetases). tRNAs cope with the degeneracy of the genetic code in two manners: having more than one tRNA (with a specific anti-codon) for a particular amino acid; and 'wobble' base-pairing, i.e. permitting non-standard base-pairing at the 3rd anti-codon position. The record is from RNAcentral. Lineage: Bacteria; Pseudomonadati; Planctomycetota; Planctomycetia; Pirellulales; Pirellulaceae.